This 18545-nucleotide long non-coding RNA is filed under the name Eucalyptus grandis. Its description in RNAcentral is "long non-coding RNA (EGRA_LNC002969)". The record is from RNAcentral. Lineage: Eukaryota; Viridiplantae; Streptophyta; Magnoliopsida; Myrtales; Myrtaceae.
CGACGUGGUUGUCGACAUCUACUGUCUCUACUUCCUUUUCUAGAAUUUUAUUCGCUUCUGCUUCUGGGUGAAUUUGAUUUGGUUGGAACCGAAACGAAAGAGAUGGGAAUCAUGAUGGAUGGAUGGAUCGAGAUGUUUAUCCAUUCUCUUAUAGGUCGAACAUUGUUCGUAUUGUUGGUGAUAAGAGGAAUUUAAAUGCUUGGGAUUGCUGACUACAGCGGACCUUGGCUUUUCUGCAAAGGGAUCUUCUUGCCAAGAACGAGUUCUGAUGCUUUGAGUUAACUUUGGAUAGGUCGUUCGCUUUGGCGAUUGAUAGCAUGGCUAUUAAGACAGCAAGGAGUACUGUGGGUUGGCAACAAAAUUCAGCUGCUCACUAUAAAGCACCAACAAGCCGCAGAAGAGUUUGCACUUUCUGGUUAGCAGGGAAAUGCAACCGGAAUCCUUGUAGGUUUUCACACGAUGCAUCUCUUCCGGGCAAUGUUUACCAUCGAGCUGCAAAGCAGUCGAGUCAUAUGGCUGAGGAUUUCCCUGGGAGGAAGGGCCCUGAAUCUAGUCCAGUGAAUUCAGCAAGUUCGACUUCUGGAGAGAGAAGUGAAUCGUCAACAAACAAAAACCCUCUGAAGCCCCAAGAAAAACUAUGCAAUUUCUGGAUAACAGGCAACUGCGUGAAGGGCGAUGCAUGUCCUUUCUUGCAUUCGUGGUUUCACGGUGUUGAUUUUGCUAUGUUGGCAAAGCUUGAGGGCCAUAAAAAGGUACCAUUUAGAGAUUAGUUUUUGCCUUCUGUGUUCUCCAGACUAUAGCUGGAGAAAAUUUAGUUGCAACUCUAAUUUGUUUCCGUCCUUUUUCUAAUUAAGAUGUCGAAAUAUCAUUUGCCUGUCUGGCAUAAAAAUGGGUCUGGACUCACCUGAUGCUUUUUAUGACAGGGUGUUUCUGGGAUAGCACUUCCUUCCGGAUCUACUAAGCUCUACUCUGGAAGCAAAGACGGAACGGCUAGAAUCUGGGACUGUCACACUGGUCAAUGUGAUCAGGUGAUCAACCUUGGAGGAGAAGUUGGGUGUUUUACUUGUGAAGGUCCCUGGGUGUUUGUUGGCCUGCCUAAUACUGUUAAGGUGAGCGGUUAGCUGGGUCUACUUUGUCCUCCGUUAUUUUUUUUUCUUUUUAUGGGGGAAUUCUUGAAUUGGUGAACUGCUGAACUCUAAUUCAUUGCUUCUCUUGUAUUUCUUGGUAGGCAUAUAAUAUCCAGAAUGGUGCUAGCUACAAUAUCAGUGGACCAGUUGGACAGGUCCAUGCUCUGGAAGUUGCUAAUGACAUGCUUUUUGCUGGAGCCCAGGUAAUUUAUUAUUAGAAACAAUCUAAUUGAUUUAGAUGAUUCAUCUGCCGUAAUAUUGUCUAGUCCGUUUCUUUGGAAUCUCGUUCCUCUGUGAAUUAGCAACAUAAGUGAUAUAAAAGUUGAUGCUGAGUGUGAGGGUGGAUUUUUGGUUCAGACCUGAAAUUCUUGUUUUCUUCUUCUCUAUGUGGGGCCCACCUGAGUCAGCAUUCAUCUGAUCACUGACUGCCCCAUUUGUUGAUCCUUGUGAUGAAUUGCAUUGGCUUUCGAUGAUUAUGCUGAACAAACUUUCCUUCUAGGAUGGCACUAUCUUGGUGUGGAAAGGAGGUAGCGAGGCUGAUCCUUUUCAGAUGGCUGCGCCUCUCAGGGGUCACACGAAGGGCGUGGUAUCAUUAACUGUUGGGCGCGACCGGUUGUAUUCUGGUUCCAUUGACCAGACCAUAAGGGUAAGCUGGCCUAUCUUAGAUGUCUCGCCCCCUGAUUUAAUCUAGUUGUGUGUCCUGGGAAGGCAUUACUUGGCCAUUGGAGUUUAUGUUUUCUUUUGCAUCACCUCUAUCAGUUGCUACAUCCUCUCUGUAUCUUUCUGCCCCGCUCUGCUGUAAUAUUGUCUUGACCCCUCACGUCUUUCUUGUUUUCUUCUCCUCAGGUGUGGGACUUGCACACUCUGGAGUGUGUUCAGGAACUUGUUGGACACACUGAUGUGGUGAUGUCACUUCUUUGCUGGGACCAGUACCUGAUAUCCUGUUCGUUGGAUAAGACAAUUAAGGUCUGGGGGGUUGCCACUGAAGGAGGCAGCUUGGAAGUUGGCUUUACACAUCAUGAGGACCAUGUAUGUUGCUUGCUAAUUUUCUUCUUUUUUUCUCACUCGUGUGGAUUAGGGUAUUUCUUGGUUGAUGAUGGUACUGUAGGAAAAAGUCUAGAUUAUAUAUGGGCCUGUUUUACAAUCUAAGAUUGCAAAGACGCGCCUUAUUUCUUUUCAGUUUUAUUUCCGCAGCUAAAAAGACGCGCCUUAUUUCUUUUCAGUUUUAUUUCCGCAGCUAAAAUUAACUAUAUGAAUAAUGUGGACUGAAGCUUUGUAAUAUAGCCAUACUGUCAAGUACCUUCCAUGUGCUUGCUCUAUGUGGGGAAGACCUGGAUUUUCAUGUUACACCUGUUGGUGUUUUUCAGUUUCUCACUGUACUCCUAGUUUCAAGGAAGUGAUGUAGUAUCAUUUGUUGAUGUUGCAAGUAUCAUUUUGUCCUGCACAGGGUAUUCUUGCACUGUCAGGGACGAUUGAUACAGGUGGUAAGCCGGUCCUUCUGUGUGCAUGCCUUGACAACACCGUUCGGUUGUACGAGCUCCCAUCGUAAGUCCAAAUAAUUUCUCUAAUUGGUUUGACAUCCUGUCUCUCAGUGGGACUGUUCUGUUCUUUCUGCUUGGCUGACUUUGUGCAUCGUACGCCAGGUUCACCGAAAGGGGCAAGAUAUUCUCAAGACGAGAAGUUAGGACUCUUCAAACGGCUCCCGGAGGCCUAUUCUUCACGGGAGAUGCUGCGGGGACACUGACCGUUUGGAACUGGUUGGAUUCUCCAAAGAGCCAAAAAGAGCAGCUUCCUCAACCGAUGGAUUCAUGCUAAGUAGAAGACAGAAUCAAAGCUAUUGACAUUGGAGUUCAAAUUUCGCAAGGAAGACAAUGUCAUCUAUGCUACGAUGCAACUGGGAUUGUGAUUUAGAGCAAGAAACGGGACGGCUGUAGCUACUGUCUGCCCCGCAAUACCAGUUUUUGGGCUGUCUUUUUUGUACAGACAUUGAUUUUUUUGACAGCGACGGCUGGACUUGUAUAUGAUUCCUGAUUAGUAAUUGAAAUGCCUUUUGCUUGUCGAAUGGAAACCUUGUUUUGCCUUUUUGAGUUUACAGCGGAAUUCUGAUUAUCGUUUCCUCUGCACGUUUGUUUAUGUCUUAUUACUGAAAAGCGAAAUUAAAUAGAGGCGCUGAAAAUAAAUGAUGAAUAAACUUUACUUCAAAAUUGUUGCAUAUGCUUCUCACUCUGAUGAAAAGAAAUUCACAUCGCGCAGGCUGUCUACUGUAUGGUUAAAAAUUGUUGGAUGAGAAACUGAUUAAUGAACUUCAUAAGCUUGUGACACCCCAUGGACCUUUGAACGUGGAAGGAAAACUCAUACGUUACACGCUACAAUUCAAGUAAAUAAAUCUUAUAAAUUAAAGCUGAUGCACGGUAAGAAAAAAAAAACUGAUACACGCAAUUUCAUUAAAGCUUAUGAAACUAAUAAGAAGCUCCCUCUUCAAAGGCAUCAAUCCAUUAAACAAUUAUGAGAGUGUAUUAGCCCAGCAAAGCGAUUUCAGAGGAAUGCAGAAAUGUGAAAAUUUGUAAAAUUUACAUUAGGAAAAUUACUAGUUAACAUAUAUCGAUAAUGUACCUUUACAUGUAUGAUCGCGUCUGUGUUAGUAUCAUUUGGGGUUAUAGCCCAUUGAGGAUAGAACAAAUCAGACAAAAAAUUUAUAAACUGGACACAAGCGGCUUGAAAGUUUAAAUUAAACUAUUUACUGAAAUGCGUGUAUUAACAAAAAAUUAGAAAACAAGAUCUUAAUUAUAGCUUCUUCUUCACGAUUUUUUAAUUAUUUUCAGUUCAGAGUAUGUAGAUUUCCUUCGUAUUGUUUAAAGGUCAAUCUCGUUCAAUCCUUUGAAUUGCUAAAUUAAAACUCGAGAUCAUCUCUUUUGGUCCAGUCGCAUGAGAUUUUAGAUAGCUCACAAGUUUGUAUAUUAUAAAUGUAAUAUUCUUACUUUGGCUAAACACACCUGUCCAGAAAAUUUAUUUAGCCCAUCAAUUAAGCAUUUUGGUGAAUAAAUUGACCUUUUAUUGAGAAACAAUAGAAGUAUAAUUAAUCCUUCAUAAAGCAGUCUCACAAAGAAAAUUCUUGAAAUCCUUAAAACGAAUGCAUAUGCAAUUUCAAAAUAAAAAUGAAUACAAAAAAAACAAAAAUCAUUUUUGCAAACCAGCCUUUGAAAGAUCUAGGUAAACGACAUUAACUAAGGAUAGAGGUUUUUCUCUCUUUUUGGUGUCAAAUUUGAGCUUGAUGAUCUUGAAUAAUUACGUUCAACAUUUCUGAUUGAUCUUACUUCUACAGUGGCAAGAACACCACGUAAGAGACCAGUUGUCCGUGUGUUUUACAGUGACAAGUGCCAUUCCUUUACCUCCUCGUUUUCUAUAUAACCAAUUUACUUUUAAAAAAGAAAAAAGAAAAAAAGAUCCAUAGUCGUUGCUUAAUGUCUCUAUUCCCUUAACCAUUUCAAUAAAUCAAUCACCAGUUCUUAUUUAUAGGCUAGGAAUGAACCAAAUCUAGCCAAACAUUUUAAUAUGUAUCGUCAUGGUUAUCUUCAAAGGAAUGCACGCGGGUUAAGUCGUUCAAGUGCGUCUUUUAUUACCUAAAGACUCCAUCUUUGCAUAUUCUGUUGUACCAUGGAUUUCAAGCCUCAUUCAUAUUAACGUUGAAGGCAGGACAUAUUAACUUUUUUAUAUGUAUUAUCAUGAUCAUCUUCAAAGGAUUGCCACUGCAAUCCCAAAUUUAAUUACAUGCAUUAAUAUUAAAGUUGAACUUGUUUUAUCACGGUCAUAUCUAUGUCGGUUGCUUUUUUUUGUCCUACUAUUUGUUAAACACAAAAGAUGCUUUUAUAUUUGCAUCGUCGAAUUCACAUUGCAUCAACGUAGCCAUCACUAUCUCUAGCGGUAUGGGCAAUUAUUGCAUUCAUCAAUUGAAAAAAAAAAAAAAAAAAAAAAGCAUUACCGGAGACGGUCAAGCUUUCAGUCAAAUUGCUAGGGGAAGUCCGAGUAAGCAGCCACUUUACACACUCCUAUUAUUUUUCUCAAGAAAAAUGGCCAAUUAAAGUGCCAAAUUUGACUUCAAGUUAGCUCGAGGAGUUUGCAAAGUUCAAAUGACUAAAUAAAGCACAAACAAAUGAACGAAAACAACAAGCAAAUUGUAAAACUUUUAUUGAAUUAGAAGGAAUGGCUUACAUUCUUGGAGGCGAUAUUUGCUCAAUGAGUGAAGUUGAACAUGAACUACAAAUAGGGACAACUGUAAUAUGUAUAGAAGGUGAAAAGUUUACAAAUACAUCUAGGAAAGCUCUUAUAGUCAAAGAUGAACACUAGAAUUGCAAAACCUAAUCUGACUUGAAUUUCAAAUUCAAAGUUCUAAUCUGAAUCAUCUUGUUGCGAAUGAUCAUCCCAUCUCCAUAUCUUUAGUAUUAAAAUCUGAUGUAUUGCUACCAUUUAACUCUUAAUUGACCAGUAAACGAAGAAUGUAAACACGGAUUGUAGAGGUUUCCCUCUAAUAGACCAUGACCAACAGUCUCACCAUGAAGAGAAAUGGAACAACUUUUAUCCUCAAACUUAAACGAAUAGCUAUAAGCGUCAAGUUUUGAAACGAAAUUAAGUUUCUAGUAAUGUAACAUAAAUUGUAUCAACUAAAUCCAAAUUGAAACCACCCUCCAACACCAAAUGGAGAGUGCUAACAGCUUCAACUGAACCUUUUCUCCAUUUCCCGUGAUAAUGUUACGAUCCCCUUUAUUUAGAUUCUUCCUUGAAAGGAAUCACUGCAAUGAAUUAGUUAUGUAUAGAGUCGUAACAGUAUCAAUCCACCCUGUAUUUGAAGGAGCAUCAAUAAUAUAGGACUCAUAACGAACAUGACUAAAUAAAGUAUUGCAUUUCUUCUCCAACCAUUGUCGAAAUUUUGAGUAUUCUUUCCUCACAUGCCCUUUAGCUCUACAAAAAUAACAUUUAGGACCACCCGAUCCUUUCCAACUAGAAGGACCUGCCUUGUCAAAUCUCAACCUUCUGUCGAGAUCUAAGAUAUAGAUUCUAUAUGUCUAAUUGGAUGUUAAAAAUAUACUAUCCAUAAUAUAUUCUAUUAAAAUGGGCAUAUAUCACUGACCAAAAAAAAAAAAGGCAUAUAUCGAAUAUUACAUAAUAGACCAAAUAAGUCACAUUAAUGGGUUGGACCUCGUCAAGUCCAACAAAAAAUAGUUGUGGAAUAUGAUGUCCUAAUUUUGAUUGUGCUUAGAAAAAUAGCUGGCGCUAAUCCUUUUUAUUUGGCUUUGAAUGAUAGGUUGGCAACAAAUAUGUCUCUCUAGAUUGUAUAGGAGAUGCAGACUCUAGGCAAGUUUUAAGUCACCCCCAUUCUUCAAUUACCCUCCUUAUUUCACAUAAUCACUAGAACUCCUUACAUCGCCUCUCUAAUGGCACAGUUUAUGUUGCAUAAUUUCUUCUAAUAAUUGUUAGGACGCACUUCUCCUUACUAAAUUAGCAUAAAUAAUCUGAUAUGCAAGAAAGUUUCAUUAUUUUGUUUGGUUAAGGAGCUACCCGUUUGCGUUGGCCAACUGCUUGGCUCUGUUCAGAUCAACAUCGAGACAACAUUUUUUAGCUCACGUCAUGAUCUCUAAAAUAUCUUACACGUGCCUAUCAAGUAAGAUUAUAGGAUCAAGGUCGGAUAUGCUUUGGUAUGACUAGUGGUUGUAUGCCGAAAUUAGUUUCGUUUGAACCGUCAUCUUUAAUUGAAACGGGAAAUUUGCACUUUUAUUAGUCUGGUUUUCUUUUUGGCAUGUGAAUGCGUAAGCCAAAUGAAACAGAAAUGUCUCAUUUCUGCGACCAUCCUACGGUUGUGUUCCCCUUUGCUUUGCCAAGAGCCGAGCAGUGGCAAAAGGUACUUGAAUAGCAAGUGUCAUCUUGCAUACAAUAGUAUGAGGCUAUGUAGCACGGACACUCUCCGGAAGCUUUCGUGUCGUAUCCAACACUUCAACACGUCCCGACACGCUCCGACACGCGAGUCCAGAAUUCUGACACGCAAUUCCGACACGCACGGGGUCAAUUUUAAAAAUUUCUAAUACUUGAGAGGUCAAAAUAUAAAUAUACACAAAAGAAGUAAUAAAAUUGCUAUAAAUAUACAUGCACGGGGUCAAUUUUUUUUUUCAGUUUUGUUUUUUUAGAAUUUUUUAUUUUUAAAAAAAGUCUUUUACUAUGAAAGAUGUAAUAAAAAUGCUAUAUAUGAUAAAUAAAUAAAUUUAAAAAUAUCAUUUCAGCAUUUUUCUUUAAACAAUGUUUUUUUCCUCUAAUUUUUUAGUAUUAUUGUAACAAAUUAAAAUAAUGAAUGAUAUUACUUAAUAUUUUUCGUGUAAAUUAAUUAUAUGCUAUUUUUAUUUUUAUUUAUUUAUGUAUUUAUAUAUAUAACGUAUCAGAACGUAUCGAAAUUUUCUAUUUGUAAGAAAUGACGUGUCGGCGUGUCGUGUCCUGUCGCGUGUCGCGUGUCCGUGUCGGUACUACAUAGGUAUGAAGUGCAAUGCAUCUUGGUGUUUAGAAUUGAGAGUUUCAUCUCUUCUCUUUUUUAGAACAGGUUAUCUAUGAACGCUUAUAAUGAAUAAUAGCAUCUAUUUGCCCCUCUUUCUGAAUACUACUGGGUCUCACGUCACUUCUGAACAAUUCACUGGUUGAUCAUGAUUGUCUUUCGUCCAUCUACCCAUUUUUUUGGAUGCUAUUGGAUCUUAUGUCACUCUUGAACAAUUCAAUUUCCUCGUGCCAUAUAUAGUUUGCACAUGUAUCAUUCUUAUGUCACUCUUGAACAAUUCAAUUUUCUUGUCCCAUGUAUAGUUUGCGCAUGUAUGAUGAUGAAUCUACCAUUUCUUUCCACUGGAUAAAUUUCCUUGUGCCAUAUAGUCUUUUUUAGCUAUUGCAUUGGUUUGCACCCUUCCCCAGUUCCUCUUCGAUCAUAGCAAACGCGGGGUUCCCUAGUUUCGACGCUGCCUCAGUUUCUAAAGGAGGGACUACUUUAUACAUUCUUUAUUUUCCGUCUUCGAUUAUGUUCUGUUUAAUGCUAUAUAUUGAUUAAGCGAAGUCAUAUCGUAUGGUAGACCAUUGAUUGCCUUCCUCAUCUUGGAAGAAGUGCAGAAUGGAUGGACAAAGGACCUUGUGCAUGUUCUAAAAGAAACUUCCAAGACUUGCCCAUUAGGUAAACGUUAUCUUAGUGGGGAGCAGUAUCAUUCAAUCUCAAAGUGAAUCGUAGUUUGGUAACUCAUCAGGAUUGGCAUAACUCUUUCAUGCAAGUUAAGUGGAGUUUCUUUUUCUCUACUAGAUCUUCAAGGCCUGGAUCUCACAUCAUCCUCAUGCAAGCUUCGAAACUACUAGAACACAAGGGGUAGCUACGGAUUUUUAAGGCGCUGAAUUCUCGAGUUAAUGAUGAUGAAUGCGUGCUUUUCAUUUGAACUUCUAGUAUCUGAAACGGCACAUGUAGUGUUCCUGGACGCUUUUAUUCAAUCAUUCUACAGGCUUUUGAGCAAGAAAAACAUUAUAGAAUCUCCCUCCUCCCUGUGGACUAAAUUGAGAAUGCGUAAGGCAAUAGGAGAGGAGUGCCAAGGAAACUACGGAGGUGAUACCUUGAUACCCAUCUCCUCUUCUUCGGAUCCGAAAAAUGACAAUUUGAACUACCAAUGACUCAGAAAUCUGCGACAUAGAUGCAUCAAAUGGUUUUGCAAAAUAGGUCGUGGAUUGACAGCUUCAUGACCUCAAUUUGCAAUGCGGUUAAUGAAUAAUUUGUGAGUGAUAGACAUUGAUGUUGGCUCGGAAGACCGAUCAUAACAAAUGCGGGCUUAAUAAUAAUAAAGGGUUUUUCAGAAGAUGGGUGUGUACCUUUACAUAGAAAACUAAGUUAAACUAUUUCACGAAAUCAAUAAUCUCUCGUUAUGGUUAGUAACUUUUAGUCUCAUUCGAAAGUUACUUCAACUUUCAAAUUUCACCACCCAAAUUCCAUGGAGAUGCAAAUAUAAGGGAUAAAUACACUAUCAGUGCCAUAAGUUGUGUACGGCACUCACUUUGGUGCCAAAAGUUUCCGUUGGAUCACUUAAAUGCCAAAUCGAAAAAAAAAAAAAAACUAUCACUUUGGUGCCACCGGCAAGAGAUUCUAGCUAGAUUAAUUAUGUGACUUUUAUAUUUUAAAAAAAAAAAAGUUCCGGUUGCUUUAAAAUGACAUCAUUUUCGGUCCUCCUUAAGAAAACGACGUCAUUUUGCCGUCCUACGUGGAUGGCCUAGAAAAAAAAAACGUCGUUUAACUCAUUUAGGGAUGUUUUAUUUUAUUUUAUUUGGGGAUUGAAAUUAGGGUUUUUCCGACCUAGCUCACUCGGCCGUCGUCGCUUGGCCUCCGCCGUUGCUCGUUCAGCCGCCAUCGCUCGCUUGACCGCCGUUGCUCGGCACUGUUUGGACGCUCUCGACGGCACACGAGGGAGCACCAGCCUCAAUCGAUGGAGCCUAGGUACUAGAAGACGUAGGCUAGACACUCGUCGAGGAGAUCGAAGAUGGAAAGGGAGAGAUCAAUGGUGGCGCACUCGUCGGCGGCCACCCCGAGCAUCAACUAGAUCACGGCCUUCGACUAGGCUGCCAAGUGGCCGUUGUCGAGGUUGGGAUUGGGGUCGGAGCCACGGCCGCCGAGUGGCCAUCUUCGGGGUCGGGGUCAGAGCUACGGCCACCGAGUGGCCAUCAUCAAGGUCGGGGUUGGAGCCGCAGCUGCCAAGUGCGGGGGCCGUCGAGGACAGCAACUGGCCAGAGAUUUAGGGUUUUUAAUUGGGGGAGACACCAAAUGACGUCGUUUUGGUGUUAUGAUGCUAACUGUACUCUUCGGCGAGUCACAUUAGUUUCAAAAAUUAAUAAAAAAGUGCAACGUCGGAUUUCCGGCCAAUCAAAUCGAAGUUGGCACUAAAAUGAUCGUUUUUCAAAUUUUUUAGCACUUAUGAUCCGAUAGAAACUUUUGGCAUCAAAGUGAGCGUUGUACACAACUUAUGGCACUGAUAAUGUACUUAUCCCCAAAUAUAAUUAAGACAAUCAAACCAAUUGACAAUGUGAUAAUAUCCCAAUCCAAAAGUAAGUCAAAGCAAGGAAAAAACAAAAAAACAAAAAGAAAGAUCUUGGAUCACCUUGUGCGGGAUUGAGAAAUCAGGGAAAGAUAUCUCUUGAAGCCCCACUCAUUCAUUUUGUUCUUUAAUCAAAUGAUGGAGAAAAAUUACGGAAUUGGAUCUGCGGAACUCGGUUUACCCAUCUUUUUGAAAAUGGACGCAACGCAUGACUUUUUUUUUUUUUUUUUGAACAGAUCAACGCAUGACUUGAAGGUCUGUAAUUCUCAGCGUGAGAAAGUUGGUUUCACAAAAAAUCAAUAAUUUCAAGAAAAAAUUUCCCUAACUUUAAUCUUUACGUUGUUUAGAAUUUUGAGUUAAUUGGAAAUAUUUAAUUAUCAAACAAAAUGCUUGGCAUAGGUUUUAUUGAUAGUGAAAAUAAUUUUCAUAAACUUAUAUUUCUAAGCGAUGAGAACAAUCGAAAUUAGGAAUGCAUUUUAUGAAUUGUUGAUUUUCGGCAAUUCCUAUUAUUUUACGAAAAAGAACAUUAAUCGUAAUUAUCUUUCAAGGAAGUUUCCUAUGUCGAUUUCAAUUUUUUUUAAUAGAAGGAUUUAUUAUUUAUUCAUUUUCCUUAACGAUCUAAAUGUCAAAAAAUAAAACAAUCGGACAUCCAUGUUUAUAUUGAUUCUGGUAUCUUAUUGGGAGGUUUGCUUAAGGUUGGAUGUUUCUCAUCAUCAUGCAAUUUCGCUUUUUCUUAAUUUCGAAUCGUCACUUUUGGACUUUUUCAUUAUUAACAUGCUUUAAUAGAGCGCCCGUCUUAAGAGAUGUAACAUUAUAAUAAGCAUGAUAAAAACUUUGUUAUGUAUUAGCACGAUAUUUACAAGAAAUGUAUAAGUAAAAGAAAUUUUCACCAUUUUACUAAUAACAAUAACAAAAAUAAUUUCACAUGCCUCCUCUUUUUUCCACCCGGUUUCUUACAUAUGUAUUUUACUAAUUUGCAUCCAUUUUAAAAUAAUGAUAAACGAAAAUAAUUUCCCUCAUCUCCUCUUAUUCCACCACGUUUUCCUCCAUGCCGAUAUUUUCUCCACCCUCUAAGGCUUUUCCACCAAAUAUAUAUAUAUAUAUAUAUAUAUAUAUAUAUAUAUAAUUUCUGAUAUUUAUCGGUUUUUUUUUCCAAUUCGACUAAAAUCUUCGAGAAAUUUAUCUUUGUACAAUAUUUAAUGUUUUCUUUAUUAUUUAUAAUUUUCUCUACUUUCCAAGUAUAAAAUAAAGAAAAUCCGGAAUGGUAAUUUCCAAUUUUUACACCCCGUGACCGCUUUGGCUUCCUUAUAAGGCCAGGAGGCAAAAUUCCCAUCCAAGAAAUCGAUUUUGCUUCUACUUUUUGUUCUUCUUCUCGAUCGAUCGAUUGCCGCCGAUCUUCGUGCCUCCUCGAUCUCCCCCACCAAUGGCUUUAUCCCUCGAACGAGAGUCCGGGAUGUGGAAGGUGUCUUAUACUCCACGAGCAAUUUGGCUACGGUCAGGGUCAUUGUGAGAUCUCCCACGUUGAAUGGUCCAUGGCUUGAGACCGCUCAUGAAUUGGUGGUACGCUUCGAUCUCGUUCAUCAAGGGGAUUUGGAGCAGCAAGUGGUACGCUCGUUCAUCAAAGGGAUUUGAAGUAGCAACUUCAAAAGUAGUCACGCACACCACCUUUUUGCUCGAGACGCUUCCUAUCAUCUGAUGGACGGCGCCACCAGCACUAUCCGCUAAGUACAUAGAUGCAGUGUUUACCGGUGUUUGGUUGUCGUUGAUCCCCAUGGUACCGCUCCCUGUACCAUAGGAAAUUAUCCACGUCUUUGGUCACCCACGAACCCUUGAAUUCCUUCGGCUUGGGUGUAUCCACUUGGUGGACCUUGCACGGUGAUCACCCCGUUAACGCUUCUUGUAAGAUCUCAAGCAACUCGUGUCGAAGCUCUCCCACGCCUGUCUUGAGCUCUUGCACCUCAGCAACAAGCUCCUCCCUUUCGACGUCUAUUUCGUCCACAAGCUGGGUUAGGUUAUCAACCAAUCCUUGGACAUUGGUGACAAACAAGUCUAGCUUCAUCAUCCACAAUGCAAGAUCCCCCAUUGGAUCUCUUGAACUCAAACCACCACGGUUCUUCUUGCCCUUGGUAGCACCCUUCUCGGCGUUCCGCCCACGAUCAACGCAGUCACUGGAUCGUGGAUCAGCCAUUGUGCUUACGCUUAUAAUAAACUUUGGUAUGUCACGUGCCGAUUGAUCCCGAGCCAAUCAAUCCCUCGUAGGCUAAGCCGUGUAGCUUUAGGACUUUACCCCUCACUCAACUCACAAGGAUCGUACAGAGAGAAACUUUAGAGAGAGAAGCUUAGGAUUGUAUUUACUUGUGAAUGAAUGAGAUGAUUACAAUGAGGGGGAGAAGACCCUAUAUAUAUACAAAUAUAAGGCAAAUCAUAUCAGUAAAUCUCUCAUUAUGUAACGGUGGAGAUUGCAUUUCCCUAACUACUAGCUACCCGCACUUAUUACAUACAAAUACAUUUACCGUAUCGCUCAUCCUUAGGAGUAUUCUAGAAUACUCGAAAAAAUCCUAAGUCUCAGGAUACAAACCGAUGGUCGCUUGAUCCACAAAUGUGUCACGACCUUAUAACCCUCUUGGAUCGGCAUUCUUUCGAGCUACAACACAUGUUUCAAGUUAGUCAAAAAUAUUAAACUUCUUUUUCUGAUAAAUUAUUGUUAUCGAAAUUUUUGAAAAUAUCUUGCCUCUUUAAUUUUUUUUCUUUUCAAGUUUAAAAUAAUGAGAGAGAAAAUUUGAAAGAGAUAAAUAUAGGAGAAUAUAUUUGAGAUGCUUACUUUUUAACCAAUUUGUACUUUCAAAUUCAAAUUCAAUCAAAGAAAAAAGUCAGGAGAUAACAAAUCAAUAAACUAAAGUUUAUUGGUUGAGCAUGAGACAUGUGACAGAACCAUGCCCUAUGCUCUUGCCACGUGAUGAUCAUAGAAGUAAAGCGAAAUGCCAUCAACCUAUUUUAUUCAAAGAGAUAAGUAUUAGAGAAUAUAUUUGGAAUACUUUUUUUAACAUUGGUUUUGUUCUUUGAAAUUCAACUCAAUAAGAAGAUAAAAAUAUUGAAGAUAAUAAUUUAUAAAACAAUGUUUAUCAGGUGGUAAUGGCACAGAAACAAAGUGAUUUGCCGGAUGGCGCUCACGGGAGCAAAUACUUUCCUACCUUUAACCAAUUUUUGCCAGAGAUCUUAUACCCCACGGGAUAUGUCAAAGUACAAACACCAAAUUAAAACACAGAAUUCAUACUCUUUUAAAAUGUAUUUCUUCGCUCUCUCUCUCUCUCUUUCUCUCUCAUUGAAUCUCGGGGGAGAGGUAAAGUACCUUUUGCAUGUUCCAGAAGCAAAAUUAACUACCAAUGACUCAGCAAUUUGCGACAUAGAUGCAUGAAUAGUUUGUGGAACGAUGCUUGGUGACCAUAGUUUGCAGUGCCUUUAAUGAAUUAUUUGUAAAUUGAGUUAUAAAUAGACACUAUUGUAUUGGAUUGGAAGACCAAUCAAAGCAAAUGCUGGCUUUGAUAAUAUUAAAAGGAUUUUUGAUAGAUGAGUGUGUCUAAAUAAGUCGAAUCACAAAAUAACAAGUUUUACAUGUAACCUACAUAGAAAACUAAUUUAAACUACUUCAUGAAAUCAAUGAUCUCCCAGUAUGGUUAGUAACUUUUAAUUUUAUCAAAGAGUCAUUUCGACUGUCAAAUUUUACUUCCCAAAUUUUAUAGGAAUGCAAAUAUAAUUUAGAUAAUCUGACCGAUGGACAAUGUCAUAAUAUCCCAAUCCAAAGGAAGUCAAGAUAAGAACAGGAAAACCUUCGGAAAGAUUUUUGAUCACCUUUUUUGGGAAGCUAUGAAGCAAGUGGGUGAAGAAUGAGAAAAUAGGGAAAAUUUCUCUGAGAGCCCCACUCAUUCAUUUUGUUCUUCAACCAAAUGAUGGAGAAAACCCACGGAAUGGGAGUUGAGCAAACUUGGUUUGACAAUCAUUAUGAAAAUGGAUGCCACGCAUGGCUCGAAGAUCUAUAAUUUGUAGAGCGAAGGGCAAGAAAGUUGGUGCUUCCGAAAAAUGAAUAACUUAAAAAAAAUUCUUGAUUUAAUAUUUAUGUAAAUAUUUUGAUUGUUAACAAAAAGAAAAAAUUGUUCAGGAUAGAUUUUAUUGAUGAUGAAAAUAAUUUGUUAUUUAACUUGUUUUUCUAAGGAAUGAGAAAAAACAAAAUUAGGAAAGCAUUUUCUGAAUUGUUGAUUCUUCUUGCCCUUGGCAGCACCCUUCUCGGCGUUCCGCCCACAAUCAACGCAGUCACUGGAUCGUGGAUUAGCCAUUGUGCUUACGCUUAGAAUAAACUUUGGUAUGUCACGGGCCGAUUGAUCCCGGGCCAAUCAAUCCCUCGUAGGCUAAGCCGUGCAGCCUAGGACUUUACCCCUCACUUAACUCAUAAGGAUCAUAGAGAGUUUCCGACUUUACCCCUCACUUAACUCGUAAGGAUCGUAGAGAGAGAAGCUCAGAAUUGUAUUUACUUAUGAAUGAAUGGGUUGAUUACAAUGAGGGGGAGAAGACCCCUAUAUAUAUACAAAUAUAAGGCAAAUCAUAUCCGUAAAUCUCUCAUCGAUCUAACGGUGGAGAUUGCAUUUCCCUAACUACUAGCUAUCCACACUUAUUACAUACAAAUACAUUUACCGUAUCACCCAUCCUCAUGAGUAUUCUAGAAGACUCGAAAAAAUCCUAAGUCUCAAGGAUACAAGCCGAUGAUCGCUUGAUCCACAAAUGUGUCACGGCCUUAUAACCCUCUUGGAUCGGCAUUCUUUCAAGCUACAACACAUGUUUCAAGUUAGUCAAAAAUAUUAAACUUCUUUUUAUGAUAAAUUAUUGUUAUCGAAAUUUUUGAAAAUAUCUUGCCUCUUUAAUUUUUUUUUUCUUUUCGAGUUUAAAAUAAUUCGAGAGAAAAGUUGAAAGAGAUAAAUAUGGGAGAAUAUAUUUGAGAUGCUUACUUUUUAACCAAUUUGUACUUUCAAAUUCAAAUUCAAUCAAAGAAAAAAGUCAGGAGAUAACAAAUCAAUAAACUAAAGUUUAUUGGUUGAGCAUGAGACAUGUGACAGAACCAUGCCCUAUACUCUAGUUGAAAGAGAUAAAUAUGGGAGAAUAUAUUUGAGAUGCUUACUUUUUAACCAAUUUGUACUUUCAAAUUCAAAUUCAAUCAAAAAAAAAAGUCAGGAGAUAACAAAUCAAUAAACGUUUAUUGAUUGAGCAUGAGACAUGUGACAGAACCAUGCCCUAUACUCUUGCCACGUGAUGAUCAUAGAAGUAAAGCGAAAUGCCUUCAACCUAUUUUAUUCAAAGAGAUAAGUAUUAGAGAAUAUAUUUGGAAUACUUUUUUUUUUUUGCAUUUGUUUGUUCUUUGAAAUUCAACUCAAUAAGAAGAUAAAAAUAUUGAAGACAAUAAUUUAUAAAACAAUGUUUAUUAGGUGGUAAUGGCACAGAAACAAAGUGAUUUGCCAUAUGGCGAUCACGGGAGCAAAUACUUUCCUGGCUUUAACCAAUUUUUGCCAGAGAUCUUAUACCCACAGGAUAUGUCAAAGCACAAACACCGAAUUAAAACAUGCAAUUCAUACUAUUUUAAAAUGUUUUUCUUCACUCUCUCUCUCUCUCUCUCUCUCUCUCUCUCUCUCUCUCUCUCUCUCUCUCUCGGGGGAGAGGUAAAGUACCUUUUGCAUGUUCCAAAAGCAAAAUUCCAAGACUUGCACAUAAACAUCUUUCCUAUGGAGUUCAACAUUGAUAGAAGAAAAAUGAGCUUUUUUUUUUUAAUUGUCCUCAAAAGUCCUGCGGUCACAUUAUGCUUUCUCUAAUUCUCUCGUCUUGAUAGGAAGCAAUAUCAUUCAAUCUUAAAAGUGAAUCGUGGUUUGACAACUCAUUAGGAUUUACACACCUCUUUUGUGCAAGUUAAGUGGAGCUUCUUUUUCUAUACUAGAUCUUCAAGGCAUGGAUCGCAUCAUCCUCAUGCGAGCUUUGAAACUACUAGAACACAAGGGGAAGCUGGUGAUGCAUGAAAUGGUUUUGCAAAAUUGUUUGUGGAACGACGCUUGGUGACCAUAGUUUGCAGUGCCUUUAAUGAAUUAUUUGUAAAUUGAGUUAUAAAUAGACACUAUUGUAUUGGAUUGGAAGACCAAUCAAAGCAAAUGCUCGCUUUGAUAAUAUCAAAGGGAUUUUUGAUAGAUGAGUGUGUCUAAACAAGUCGAAUCACAAAAUGACAAGUUUUACAUGUGACCUGCAUAGAAAACUAAUUUAAACUACUUCAUGAAAUCAAUGAUCUCCCAGUAUGAUUAGUAACUUUUAAUCUCAUCCAAAAGUCAUUUCAACCUUUAAAUUUUACUUCCCAAAUUUUAUAGGAAUGCAAAUAUAAUUUAGACAAUCGGACCGAUGGACAAUGUCACAGUAUCCCAUCCAAAGGAAGUCAAGAUAAGAAUAGGAAAACCUAUGAAAAGAUUUUUGAUCACCUUGUUCAGGAAGCCAUGAAGCAUGUGGGUUCUCUGAGAGCCCCACUCAUUCAUUUUGUUCUUCAACCAAAUGAUGGAGAAAACCCGUGGAAUGGGAGUUGAGCAAACUUGGUUUGACAAUCAUUAUGAAAAUGGAUGCCACGCAUGGCUUGAAGAUCUAUAAUUUGCAGAGCGAAAGGCCAGAAAGUUGGUUUUUCCGAAAAAUGAAUUACUUAAAGAAAUUCAUGACUUUAAAUAGUUAUGUAAAUAUUUUGAUUGUUAACAAAAAAAUUGUUCAGGAUAGAUUUGAUUGAUGAUGAAAAUAAUUUUUUAUUUAACUUAUUGUUCUAAGCAUUGAGAACAAUCAAAAUUAGGAAAGCAUUUUCUGAAUUGUUGAUUCCGAUUAUUUUACAAAAAUUGAAAAUUAUUAAAUAGACAAAUUUCCGGGGAAAAUGAUUCAUUUUCUUAUUUUAUUUUUUUCUGAAAGGUUAUGUUUUCUUAUUUUUUAAUAAAACAAUCUAUUGUUUACUCAUUAUCCCUUACCUCCUAUUUUUCCACCAUAUUUACUCCAUUUAUAUUUCAUUCACCACAAUACUUACAAGAAAUACACAAGUAAAAGCACUUUCCACCCUAUUUAAAUUAAACGAAAAUAAUUUCCAUCGCCACCUCUUUGUUAACCUCAUUUUUCUCCGGGCUUAUAUUUUCUCCGCCCUCUAUUAUAAAAUCUCUCUAACACCUUCGAAUUGAAAUUUAAUAAAUAUAUGCUUAUAUUUAUCGGGGGUUUUUCCCCCUAAAUAGACUAAAAUCUUAUAGAAAUUUACCUUUACACCAUAUUUAAUUUUUUUAUUAUUAUUUUCUCACUUUUCCAAGUAGAAAAUCAAGAUACGACCCCAAAAAAAAAAGUAUAAAAUCAAGAAAACCACCCCGCGUGACGUGAACGCGCUUUGGCAUCCUUAUAUAACGAGAAGGCCAGCAGGCAAACUUGAGUCUUGAACAACAAAAAGCUCUCAUCGAUUUCUUCUUCUUCUUCUUCUUCUUCUUCUUCUUCUUCUCUUCUUCUCGAUCGCCGCCGAUCUUCGUGCUUCCGAUUCGAGUGGCCCGAUCGUUGGUUCGUUGCUUUCGCCGUUUUCGCUAAGGUUCGCUUCGCUUCUCUUUCCGACGCGCUCUCUCCGUAUCAGUUUCUAGCGAAGUAGCGACGAGGAAGAAGUUCCCCCCCGGUUACGUUAGGGUUUUCCGUUCUUCUUUCGACGAUGACGAUGACGAUGACGAUCUCCCGCUCGCCGCCGGAGGGUUUUCCAGGAAGUGGUUGCCCGCCGCUGACGACGGCGAGGGCCGUCGGGCUUGCGACGUUUGGUAGUCGUUCGCGGCGAUUGUUAGGGUUUCUUAAUCCCGAAGGAAUCGGGGGUUUUUGUUCCGCCUUGAAGGAGGAUCAUGAAAUUAGGUUUGAUUACUGGAAUUUAUGUUGAAAAGGCUCGGACGAUGCGACGUGGUUGUCGACGUCUACUGUCUCUACUUCCUUUUCUAGAAUUUUAUUCGCUUCUGCUUCUGCUUCUGGGUGAAUUUGAUUUGGUUGGAACCGAAACGAAAGAGAUGGGAAUCAUGAUGGAUGGAUGGAGAUGUUUAUCCAUUCUCUUAUAGGUCGAACAUCGUUCGUAUUGUUGGUGAUAAGAGGAAUUUGAAUGCUUGGGAUUGCUGACUACAGCGGACCUUGGCUUUUCUGCAAAGGGAUCUUCUUGCCAAGAACGAGUUCUGAUGCUUUGAGUUAACUUUGGAUAGGUCGUUCGGUUUGGCGAUUGAUAGCAUGGCUAUUAAGACAGCAAGGAGUACUGUGGGUUGGCAACAAAAUUCAGCUGCUC